GAUGAACGCUGGCGGCGUGCCUAAUACAUGCAAGUCGAGCGAACAGACGAGGAGCUUGCUCCUCUGACGUUAGCGGCGGACGGGUGAGUAACACGUGGAUAACCUACCUAUAAGACUGGGAUAACUUCGGGAAACCGGAGCUAAUACCGGAUAAUAUAUUGAACCGCAUGGUUCAAUAGUGAAAGACGGUUUUGCUGUUACUUAUAGAUGGAUCCGCGCCGCAUUAGCUAGUUGGUAAGGUAACGGCUUACCAAGGCAACGAUGCGUAGCCGACCUGAGAGGGUGAUCGGCCACACUGGAACUGAGACACGGUCCAGGCUCCUACGGGAGGCAGCAGUAGGGAAUCUUCCGCAAUGGGCGAAAGCCUGACGGAGCAACGCCGCGUGAGUGAUGAAGGUCUUCGGAUCGUAAAACUCUGUUAUUAGGGAAGAACAAAUGUGUAAGUAACUAUGCACGUCUUGACGGUACCUAAUCAGAAAGCCACGGCUAACUACGU
This 496-nucleotide ribosomal RNA is filed under the name uncultured bacterium. RNAcentral describes it as "partial 16S ribosomal RNA". It matches the Rfam family "Bacterial small subunit ribosomal RNA", at positions 28 to 506 of the family's 1533-position model. The record is from RNAcentral.